GGGGCUAUAGCUCAGUUGGUAGAGCGCCUGCAUGGCAUGCAGGAGGUCAGGAGUUCAAUU
Transfer RNA from Streptomyces sp. MnatMP-M17, 60 nucleotides. It matches the Rfam family "tRNA", at positions 1 to 58 of the family's 71-position model. From Rfam's summary of the family: Transfer RNA (tRNA) molecules are approximately 80 nucleotides in length. Their secondary structure includes four short double-helical elements and three loops (D, anti-codon, and T loops). The record is from Rfam. Lineage: Bacteria; Bacillati; Actinomycetota; Actinomycetes; Kitasatosporales; Streptomycetaceae.